This 29-nucleotide small RNA is filed under the name Bombyx mori (domestic silkworm). RNAcentral's name for it is "ovarian small RNA-37516". Lineage: Eukaryota; Metazoa; Arthropoda; Insecta; Lepidoptera; Bombycidae. The record is from RNAcentral.
UUCUGAAGAUUCAUAAUAGCCGCAGUUGC